This 253-nucleotide ribosomal RNA is filed under the name uncultured bacterium. Its description in RNAcentral is "partial 16S ribosomal RNA". It matches the Rfam family "Bacterial small subunit ribosomal RNA", at positions 524 to 776 of the family's 1533-position model. The record is from RNAcentral.
UACGAAGGGGGCUAGCGUUGUUCGGAAUUACUGGGCGUAAAGCGCGCGCAGGCGGUCUUCCAAGUCAGUGGUGAAAGCCCGGAGCUCAACUCCGGAAUUGCCAUUGAAACUGUUAGACUUGAGGAUGAGAGAGGUGAGUGGAAUUCCCAGUGUAGAGGUGAAAUUCGUAGAUAUUGGGAAGAACACCGGUGGCGAAGGCGGCGACCUGGUCCUUUACCGACGCUGAGGCGCGAAAGCGUGGGGAGCAAACAGG